AUUCAGCUGACGAGUCCAAAAUAGAACAAAAGAAAGCAUCCUGGAU
Molecule: non-coding RNA, 46 nt
Filed under: Schistosoma curassoni
Lineage: Eukaryota; Metazoa; Platyhelminthes; Trematoda; Strigeidida; Schistosomatidae
Source: RNAcentral